RNAcentral lists this ribosomal RNA (253 nucleotides) under uncultured bacterium. Its description in RNAcentral is "partial 16S ribosomal RNA". It matches the Rfam family "Bacterial small subunit ribosomal RNA", at positions 524 to 776 of the family's 1533-position model. The record is from RNAcentral.
UACAGAGGUCUCGAGCGUUAGGCGGAAUCACUGGGCUUAAAGCGUGUGUAGGUGGAUCGGUAAGUACCUUGUGAAAUCCCACGGCUUAAUCGUGGAACUGCUUGGUAUACUGCCAGUCUUGAGCCAGCUAGGGGCUACCGGAACAAAUGGUGGAGCGGUGAAAUGCGUAGAUAUCGGGAGGAACACCUGUGGCGAAAGCGGCGCACUGGACCAUAACUGACGCUGAGGCGCGAAAGCUAGGGGAGCAAACAGG